RNAcentral lists this ribosomal RNA (408 nucleotides) under Triticum aestivum (bread wheat). Its description in RNAcentral is "partial small subunit ribosomal RNA". Lineage: Eukaryota; Viridiplantae; Streptophyta; Magnoliopsida; Poales; Poaceae. The record is from RNAcentral.
GGAACAGCCGCAGCAAUCUGCAGGGAUGACAGGGGUAAUUACCUGGGCAGCUCAGCUUUGGUGAUCCAAGGGGUUUGUGAUGUGGCGACACUGGAGGCGCUAGCCUGUAGGGAAGCCCUCGCGCUUGCUGAAGACUUGCAUAUUCAGCAAUUCAUCAUAGCAUCAGACUCACGAGAAGUGAUCAACGACAUAAACAACUCCUACAGAGGGAAGAAUGGAGCGAUCAUCUCAGAGAUUAACCACCGAACUUCUGGUUUCAACUGUUCUUUUAAGUACGAGGGACGACAGUCGAACGUCGAUGCCCAUAGAAUAGCUAGAUCCUCUCUUUCUUUACAGCAGGGGCGCCAUACUUGGCUUGUUCAUCCCCAUGCAAACUGUAUUCCACAAACUGUGGCUUUUGAUCAAUAA